Molecule: long non-coding RNA, 12602 nt
Filed under: Mytilus galloprovincialis (Mediterranean mussel)
Lineage: Eukaryota; Metazoa; Mollusca; Bivalvia; Mytilida; Mytilidae
Source: RNAcentral
UAGUAUUUCAAAAAUUCAAAGUUUUGUAUACAGUUAUAAUUAUGACCAUAUCAAUGAUAAUUUACAUGUUUAACAUUUUAUAUAAAUCUUUAUUUGCAGAUUCUUAUGAGGCUAAUUGACUGGUGGCAGAUGGGAUAAAAAUGUAUGUAAUAUAAAGUGGCAUUAAGGCCAUGAAGACAGACUGUAUUAUAACAUUUUGAAGUUGCAAUAUGAGUUUGACGAAGGCCCACGUUUAAUCCCUUAUUGACAAUUGCAGAACUCUGGCCAACAGAUUUCACAUUAGGUAUUUAAAAUGUUUAAUCAUUUAAUCAUAUUGAUAAUUAGACAGAGGCUUUACUUAAACAAGUUUCUUUCAAAACAAAGUAAACAUGGUAAAGGCAAAGUGUACACAAUUAACUACUUCAUUGAAUUAUUUAUGCCCCCGCCGUAAUGGUGGGGCAUUAAGUUUUAUCCCUGUCUGUCUGUACAUACGUCCGUCCGUCCCAAAGUUGGUUUCCGUUCUCUUACUUUAGUUUGCCUCAACCAAAUGUCAUGAAACUUAUACACAAUGCCAUUUACCACAAAACACAAAUCAAGUUUGAAUUUUGGUGGCGUCACUUUAACGGUUCUAUAGUCAUAGAGUUAUGCCCCUUUACAAAUGGAAAAAUUGCUGAAUUUUCAUUUUCGUUCUCUUACUUUAGUUUGCCUCAACCCAAUGUUAUGAAACUUAUACACAAUGCUUAUUACCACAAAACACAGAUCAAGUUUGAAUUUUAGGGGUGUCAAUAUUACUGUUCUAUAAUAUUAUAUGAUAUGCAAGCGGGGAUAUCAUCUGCAUGAUCUGUGUCACAUGGACUCAUUCCCCAUUUAUUUAAUUAUUACAUAUUUGGAUUUGGCUUGUAAAAAUACACCAGAAAAUGAAAUAAAAAAGGGGUUAACCGUCUUUUUUGAAACACGAGAUUUUGAAAAUAACAAUAUAAUAUGCCAAAAAUAAAUAGAAUUAUAUAUAAGGGAAACUGAUGAAAUUUUUAUUCUAUUUUAUUAAUCCACAGAGUUUUUACAUGGUCGUUAUUCUAUUUUAUUAAUCCACAGAGUUUUUACAUGGUCGUUAUUCUAUAUUAUUAAUCCACAGAUUUUUUACAUGGUGGUUAUUCUAUUUUAUUAAUCCACAAAGUUUUUACAUGGUGGUUAUUCUAUUUUAUUAAUCCACAGAGUUUUUACAUCCAUGGUGGUUAUGUUAUUCUAUUUUAUUAAUCCACAGAGUUUUUACAUGGUCGUUAUUCUAUUUUAUUAAUCCACAGAGUUUUUACAUGGUGGUUAUUCUAUUUUAUUAAUCCACAAAGUUUUUACAUGGUGGUUAUUCUAUUUUAUUAAUCCACAGAGUUUUUACAUCCAUGGUGGUUAUUCUAUUUUAUUAAUCCACAGAGUUUUUACAUGGUGGUUAUUCUAUUUUAUUAAUCCACAGAGUUUUUACAUGGUCGUUAUUCUAUUUUAUUAAUCCACAGAGUUUUACAUGGUGGUUAUUCUAUUUUAUUAAUCCACAGAGUUUUUACAUGGUCGUUAUUCUAUUUUAUUAAUCCACAGAGUUUUUACAUGGUGGUUAUUCUAUUUUAUUUAUUUUAUUUAUUAAUCCACAGAGUUUUUACAUGGUCGUUAUUCUAUUUUAUUAAUCCACAGAGUUUUUACAUGGUCGUUAUUCUAUUUUAUUAAUCCACAGAGUUUUACAUGGUCGUUAUUCUAUUUUAUUAAUCCACAGAGUUUUUACAUGGUGGUUAUUCUAUUUUAUUAAUCCACAGAGUUUUUACAUGGUGGUUAUUCUAUUUUAUUAAUCCACAGAGUUUUUACAUGGUCGUUAUUCUAUUUUAUUAAUCUACAGAGUUUUUUACAUGGUGGUUAUUCUAUUUUUAUUAAUCCACAGAGUUUUUACAUGGUCGUUAUUCUAUUUUAUUAAUCCACAGAGUUUUUACAUGGUCGUUAUUCUAUUUUGUUAAUCCACAGAGUUUUUACAUGGUGGUUAUUCUAUUUUAUUAAUCCACAGAGUUUUUACAUCCAUGGUGGUUAUUCUAUUUUAUUAAUCCACAGAGUUUUUACAUGGUGGUCAUGGUGGUUAUUCUAUUUUAUUAAUCUACAGAGUUUUUACAUGGUGGUUAUUCUAUUUUAUUAAUCCAUAGAGUUUUUACAUGGUGGUUAUUCUAUUUUAUUAAUCAACAGAGUUUUUACAUGGUCGUUAUUCUAUUUUAUUAAUCCACAGAGUUUUUACAUGGUCGUUAUUCUAUUUUAUUAAUCCACAGAGUUUUACAUGGUCGUUAUUUCUAUUUUAUUAAUCCACAGAUUUUUACAUGGUCGUUAUUCUAUUUUAUUAAUCCACAGAGUUUUUUACAUGGUCGUAUUCUAUUUUAUUAAUCCACAGAGUUUUUACAUGGUCGUUAUUCUAUUUUAUUAAUCCACAGUUUUUACAUGGUCGUUUAUUCUAUUUUAUUAAUCCACAGAGUUUUUACAUGGUCGUUAUUCUAUUUUAUUAAUCCACAGAGUUUUUACAUGGUCGUUAUUCUAUAUUAUUAAUCCACAGAGUUUUUUACAUGGUCGUUAUUCUAUUUUAUUAAUCCACAGAGUUUUUUACAUGGUGGUUAUUCUAUUUUAUUAAUCCACAGAGUUUUACAUGGUGGUUAUUCUAUUUUAUUAAUCCACAGAGUUUUUACAUGGUCGUUAUUCUAUUUUAUUAAUCCACAGAGUUUUUACAUGGUUAUUCUAUUUUAUUAAUCCACAGAGUUUUUACAUGGUUAUUCUAUUUUAUUAAUCCACAGAGUUUUUACAUGGUCGUUAUUCUAUUUUAUUAAUCCACAGAGUUUUUACAUGGUCGUUAUUCUAUUUUAUUAAUCCACAGAGUUUUACAUGGUCGUUAUUCUAUUUUAUUAAUCCACAGAGUUUUUACAUGGUCGUUAUUCUAUUUUAUUUAAUCCACAGAGUUUUUACAUGGUCGUUAUUCUAUUUUAUUAAUCCACAGAGUUUUUACAUGGUCGUUAUUCUAUUUUAUUAAUCCACAGAGUUUUUACAUGGUGGUUAUUCUAUUUUAUUAAUCCACAGAGUUUUUACAUGGUCGUUAUUCUAUUUUAUUAAUCCACAGAGUUUUACAUGGUCGUUAUUCUAUUUUUUUAAUCCACAGAGUUUUUACAUGGUCGUUGUUCUAUUUAUUAAUCCACAGAGUUUUUUACAUGGUCGUUAUUCUAUUAUAUUAAUCCAUAGAGUUUUUACAUGGUCGUUAUUCUAUUUUAUUAAUCCACAGAGUUUGUACAUGGUCGUUAUUCUAUUUUAUUAAUCCACAGAGUUUUUACAUGUUCGUUAUUCUGUUUUAUUAAUCCACAGAGUUUUUACAUGGUCGUUUUUCUAUUUUAUUAAUCUACAGAGUUUUUACAUGGUCGUUAUUCUAUUUUAUUAAGCCACAGAGUUUUUACAUGGUCGUUAUUCAUGUUAUUCUAUUUUAUUAAUCCACAGAGUUUUUACAUGGUCCGUUAUUCUACAUUAGUAAUCCACAGAGUUUUUACAUAGUCGUUAUUCUAUUUUAUUAAUCCACAGAGUUUUUACAUGGUCGUUAUUCUAUUUUAUUAAUCCACAGAGUUUUUACAUGGUCGUUAUUCUAUUUUAUUAAUCCACAGAGUUUUACAUGGUCGUUAUUCUAUUUUAUUAAUCCACAGAAAUAAUAUGCAUUUUGUGCUUAAAACUGAGAAAAAUCACAAAAAAUACAAAAUUAACAGCAUGGUAAAUUUUACUCAAAAAAGCGUCUAAAUAUGAUAAAACUUUCUUAAUUUAACACCUACCUAUUGUUUUUUGUAAGUAAAAUUUAUUCAGAUUGGUCCACUUCAUCCUUAUAGAAAGUAUGAAAAAAAGUUUAAUUGUGGAACUGUGAUUUUUUUUACGAUAAUAGCCCAAAAUCAGGUAAAAAUCGAUGAAAAAUGGGAAAAUCAUCAAAAUUGGGCAUUUUCAAAGGGCUGUAGCAAAAAAAGUAGUGCACCACCAUUUGAUUUUUUCUUCACCAAUAUUUUUGUUACAGUCUUAUAAACGCAAAAAUCAGGUUAAGAAAAAAAGUUUAAUUCUAGAAAUUUUUGGCUCCUCAGAGGUGUACAUCCUUAACCUUUAGCGGCGACAUUAUUGAUGUGUACAUUGACGUCACCUUGCACAAUUUAUAUGCUCUAUAAUGUAUAGAUAUAAGCAAAGCUAAUAAACUAUUGUGCCUUGCCACAUGAAGAGCGUGAGUGUGUAACAGCCUUUUUGCUAUUAAUUACUUAUAUGCUUUAACUUAAAAAGCUUAUUUAAAAGCGUAUACUGUUCAAUUGAUUAGAAAGUUAGCUGACUUAAAUUUUUAUUGAAUACUUUUGCUGCCUAAAAAAUGCAAAUUGGCAUAAUAAAUGUACUGCAAGUGAUAAAAAAGAAAAUUACUGUUGGCUUCCAAUAGUCAAUUUCGAUCAUCAUUGUACAGUCAGGGGACUUUUUAAAUCACUGAUUCAAGUAACAUUGUGUCCACAAAUGUUGGAAGUUAGAGUUGUCUUUCUUUAAUAAUCACUUAUUUAAGUAGUACAAAUAAAUCACUAGACUAACAUGACUAAGUGAUGUAAUUUUAUUGUAGCUCUAAAUGUACAAUACUAAUUAUCAGAACCAACAUCUGUGUUGAUAAGAUCAUGACCGGUCAUGUCAGGUGAUGACCUUGUACUAAAUCUGGGAUAAUGACAUGAAAAAUCACUUGUUUAAAAAAUUGAAAACAACACGUUUAAUAAUUUCAUGCGUCCGAAGUGCUUCUCUGGAUUUACCUUCAUCAGGAACGCUCAAAGCCAAACAUUCGAAAUCCGAGAAUGUAUAAGUACUGAAACAGUUGAAGAGCUAUAUGACAAAAAAUACCGAAAACAAAUAGCCAAAUUCAUCUAAGGUCAACUUUGCCUGAGUGAGUUGAAACCUUAGUUUCUUUAUAAUUUCAAAAUUUAUAAACGAACAAUUUUAGAAAAGUUUGUUAUAAAUCAUGUCAGUACCGAAGUUUAAGUAUCAUACCUCUAUUUUCUUCCAAAAAAUCACUUCUUUAAGCAUUAUUAUUUUAAUAACCCCCACUAAUUUCAACACCCCCCUUAUUUUUCCACCUCCCACCCCCCCCCCCCCCCCCCAUCAAACUUUCAUUAAUUUUCAUGAUUAUAUUUUAUGUUUUUUUGUUUCUUGUAGUUAAUGCCCCUUAAAAAUAUUUCUCAUCAAAUUACAACUCUUGUGUACAAACAUGAUAAAAUGUUGUGUUUUUCUUUUACAGGAUAUAAUGGCAAGUUGGGAUCAGGUAAGAUUUUCUUCUUAAAAAUGUCAAUGGUCAUGUGACUUAUGUUGUCUAUAAACUGUACAUAAAGAUACAGGAGUGUAGUAUUCUCAGAGUCAGUCAGUGUCAUGUGUUAUAUGUCAUGUGACCUAUGUUGUCUAUAAACUGUACAUAAAGAUACAGGCGUGCAGUAUUCUCAGAGUCAGUGUCAUGUGACCUAUGUCAUGUGACCUAUGUUGUCUAUAAACUGUACAUAAAGAUACAGGAGUGCAGUAUUCUCAGAGUCAGUCAGUGUCAUGUGACCUACAAAAUGUAUGUCAUGUGAUCUAUCUUGUCUACAAACUGUACAUAAAGAUACAGGCGUGCGGUAUUCUCAGAGUCAGUCAGUGUCAUGUGACCUAUGUCAUGUGAUCUAUGUUGUCUACAAACUGUACAUAAAGAUACAGGCGUGCAGUAUUCUCAGAGUCAGUCAGUGUCAUGUGACCUAUGUCAUGUGACUUAUGUUGUCUAUAAAAUGUACAUAAAGAUACGAUACAGGCGUGCAGUAUUCUCAGUCAGUCAGUGUCAUGUGACCUAUGUCAUGUGACUUAUGUUGUCUAUAAAAUGUACAUAAAGAUACGAUACAGGCGUGCAGUAUUCUCAGAGUCAGUCAGUGUCAUGUGACCUAUGUCAUGUGACUUAUGUUGUCUUUAAAAUGUACAUAAAGAUACAGGUGUGUAAUAUUCUCAGAGUCAGUCAGUGUCAUGUGACUUAUGUUUUCUAUAAAAUGUACAUAAAGAUACAGGUGUGUAAUAUUCUCAGAGUCAGUCAGUGUCAUGUGACCUAUGUCAUGUGACCUAUGUUAUAAAGAUACAGGCGUGCAGUAUUCUCAGGGGGAGAACAGGAGAAAUCAAAAUGACUACAGUGAACAGAAUUUCAAUAUACAAAAUUCCAGGAGACAAAAAAAAGAAACGUAAGAUAUUGUAGGACAUUCACAACUCUUUAAGUCGAAGAGAAUCUGACAACGCCAUGGAAAAAAAAUGAAAAACAAACAAAAUUCAACAGUCUACAUUAGUCAUUUCAGGGCCUUUUAUAGCUGACUAUGCCAUAUGGGCUUUGAUCAUUGUUGAAGGCUGUACAGUGACCUAUAGUUGUUAUUUUCUGUGUCAUUUUGUCUAUUUUGUAAAAUUGUCUCAUUCAUGUCAUUGGCAAUCAUACCACGUCUUCUUUUUAUAUUCAAAACAUUACAUAAAAAACUAAAGACCGAGCAACACAAACCUCAACAAAAACUUAGGCUGAUCUCAAAACUGAUGCAUAAUACAAUUGUCUACAGACUUUUCUAAAAAAAAACUCUGAAAUUAUACACAACAAUUUCACUCCUUCUUGCUUGUAAUUUGAUUUUUUACUUUAUUUGCGAUAAUACUGUAAAUGUUGAAAAACUGUAAAAAAAUAUAGAACCAAGUAUCAAAAGUCAGUAAUAUAAAAAUAGACAAUUGCUUUUACAUAUUUAAAACAACUCUGUAUAGACUUUCUGAUUGGUCCUAACAAAGCUUUGUUUUGCUUACAGAAACUUCUUACAGCUGCAGAGUUGGGGAAUAUAAAAGAGGUAGAAUUAUGUAUAAAGAACAGAGCUAACUUGGAAUGUAGAGAUUGUAAGUAAAGUAAAAUGUUUAACACAUUUACAGAUAUUUAUUAUAUAGUACACAUAAUGUGGAUCAGUUAAACACUGCCCUUGUUAGUGUUCAGUGAUUCAGUGUACAUUCUAUUUAUUGCAAAUACUCUUGUCUUCAAAAUAUUAAGAAACAUAGUAUUAUGAUAUAUUGUGAUUAACUUUAUUACACUGAUGAAUACCACUCCAGUUUGUAUGUCAAAGAGUUGCUGUCUGAUACUUCGUAACUGUAUACAACUGAAAUAUUGUGAUUUACUUUAUUACACGUAACAUAGUAUUCUACACAAAAAACAUUACUUUGGUUAAAAAAAAUCUUGCAUGACCAUGACUUGAGACAUGACACCUGAUCAUACAACUUUCAUUGACCACUCCUGUUCUAAACAUGACAAUUUGACACCUGAUUCUACAACAUUCAUUAACCACUUCUGUACUGAACAUAACAUGUGACACCUGAUCAUAAAACCUGCAUUUACCACUCUUGAACUGAACAUGACAUGUGACCCAUUUACCACUCCUGUACUGAACAUGACAUGUGACACAUGAUUAUACAACAUUCAUUUACCACUCUUGUACUGAACAUGACAUGUGACACCUGAUCAUACAACAUACAUUUACCACUCCUGUACUGAACAUGACAUGUGACACCUGAUCAUACAACAUUCAUUUACCACUCUUGUACUAAACAUGACAUGUGACACUGAUUAUACAACAUUCAUUUACCACUCCUAUACUGAACAAGACAUGUAACACCUGAUUAUACAACAUUCAUUAACCACUCCUGUACUAAACAUGACAUGUGACACAUGAUUAUACAACAUUCAUUUACCACUCUUGUACUGAACAUGACAUGUGCCACCUGAUCAUACAACAUACAUUUACCACUCCUGUACUGAACAUAACAUGUGACACCUGAUCAUACAACAUGCAUAUGCCACUCCUGUACUGAACAUGACAUAACACCAGAUCAUUCAUUUACCACUCCAGUACUAAACAUGACAUGUGACACCUGAUUAUACAACAUUCAUUAACCACGCCUGUACUGAACAUGAUAUGUAACACCUGAUUAUACAACAUUCAUUUACCACUCCUGUACUGAACAUGACAUGUGACACCUGAUCAUACAACAUGCAUUUACCACUCCUGUACUGAACAUGACAUGUGACACCUGAUCAUACACAUGAACUGUACUGACAUGACAUGUGACACCUGAUCAUACCAACAUUCAUUUUUACCACUGUUGUACUGAACAUGACAUGUGACACCUGACAUCAUACAACAUCAUUUACCACUCUUGUACUGAACAUGACAUGUGACACUGAUCAUACAACAUUCAUUUACCACUCUUGUACUGAACAUGACAUGUGACACCUGAUCAUACAACAUAUAAUUACCACUCCUGUACUGAACAUGACAUGUGACACCUGAUCAUACAACACAUUCAUUUACCACUCCUUGUACUGAACAUGACAUGUGACACCUGAUCAUACAACCAUGCAUUUACCACUCCUGUACUGAACAUGACAUGUGACACCUGAUCAUACAACAUUCAUUUACCACUCUAGUACUAAACAUGACACGUGUCACCUGAUCAUACCACAUUCAUUAACCACUCCUGUACUAAACAUGACAUGUACACCUGAUCAUACAACCAUUCAUUUACCACUCCUGUACUGAACAUGACAUGUGACACCUGAUCAUACACCAUGCAUUUACCACUCCUGUACUGAACAUGACAUGUGACACCUGAUCAUAGAACUUUCAUUUACCACUCUUGUACUGAACAUGACAUGUGACACCUGAUCAUAAAACUUUCAUUUACCACUCUUGUACUGAACAUGACAUAACACCAGAUCAUACAACAUUCAUUUGAACACCCUGAUUAUGCUACAUACAUUUACCACUCCUGUACUGAACAUGACAUGUGACACCAUUGCUAUAUUACCCUUACACUCACUACAAACAUAUAUUGCAUAACCAUUGCUCUUAUACUCAGUAACACAUGCACGUGGUCACCCGCCCCCAGCAAUACUCAGUGGGCAAACAGCUUAUUUCAGUUUCUAUACCACCAUGGAGAGUCAUAGCUGUACAUGUAGCCAGAAUACAUGAUGCACAUUUUAGGAUAGCUUACACCAUUGAUCAUACAUUUUUAUUGCCAAAUUGCAUAUUUUAAACACCCACCAUGUCUAACACUUAUAGAAAUACUGUUAUAUAAACAUACAUUCUGACAUAGAUAUUAUUUAAAAGAAUUUUUUCUUACAUGCAAUUGUUAAUUCUUAAUAUUAGUUAUAUAUAUUUAAAAUAAAUGAAUUAUUUGGCUUUAAAUGAAUGUUAAGAGUGUGACCAAUCUAGACAGAUGGGUGAUUUACUAGAUUUUUAGGAUAAUUUUGAGAAAGGCUUUCUCUAUUUAUAUUGUCUAAUGUGUCUUCAUGUACACUUGUCUCAGAGUUGCUAGAAUAAUACACUCAAAUGUAUAUAUACAUUUGUAUUAUAAGUCUCUUAAACGAUUAUGAGACUUAUUUAUAAACAAAUGUGUUACAUAUAAUUAUAUCUUUAAUGUAUUGCAUUGUGUUUAAUCACUGAAUCCUCUUCAAAAAUUUAGGCCAGCAUUUCAUAUUACCCAGUAUUGCCCAGUAUUACCCGGUAAAACCCAGUAAAACCCGGGUUUUGUCCACUCUGCAAUACUCACCCGGGUUUUUUGCACACACCAUUGCUAUAUUACCCCUUAUAUACACAGCACAAACAUACCAUUGCUAUAUUACACUUAUACUCACCACAUACACCAUUGCUAUAUUACCUUUAUACUCAGCACAAACAUUCACCAUUGCUAUAUUACCCUUAUACUCAGCACACACAUACACCAUUGCUAUAUUACCAUUUAUACUCACCACACACAUACACCAUUGCUAUAUUACCGUUAUACUCACCACAAAUAUACACCAUUGCUAUAUUACCCUUAUACUCAGCACAAACAUACACCAUUGCUAUAUUACCCUUAUACUCAGCACAAACAUACAUCAUUGCUAUAUUACCCUUAUACUCACCACAUACACAAUUGCUAUAAUACCCUUAUACUCACCACAAACAUACACCAUUGAUAUAUUACCCUUAUACUCAGCACAAACAUACAUCAUUGCUAUAUUACCCUUACACUCAUCAAAAACAUCUAUUGUUUUAUUACCCUUAUACUCACCAAAACAUACACCAUUGCUAUAUUAGCCUCACACUUAAUACAAACAUACACCAUUGCUAUAUUACCCUUACACUCACCACAAAUAUACACCAUUGCUAUAUUACCCUUAUACUCACCACAAACAUACACCAUUGCUAUUUUACCCUUAUACUCACCAUAAAGAUACUAUAUUGCUAUAUUACCCUUAUACUCAACACAAACAUUCACCAUUGCUAUAAUACCCUCAUACUUAGCACAAACAUACACCAUUGCUAUAUUACCCUUAUACUCACCACAAACAUUCACCAUUGCUAUAUUACCCUUAUACUCACCACAAACAUACACCAUUGCUAUAUUACCGUUAUACUCACCAAAAACAUACACCAUUGCUAUAUUACCCUUAUACUCACCACAAACAUACACCAUUAGUAUAUUACCCUUAUACUCACCAAAAACAUACACCAUUGCUAUAUUACCCUUAUACUCAGCACAAACACACCAUUGCUAUAUUACCCUUAUACUCACCACAAACAUACUCCAUUGCUAUAUUACCCUUAUACUCACCACAACAUACACCAUUGCUAUAUUACCCUUACACACCACCACAAACAUACACCAUUGCUAUAUUACCCUUAUACUCACCACAACAUUGCUCAAUUAAUUUUAUUAUAUACUCCCACAAACACACACCAUUGCUAUAUUACCCUUAUACACAACAACUCAUAAGAUAUGAAGCAGCCAACAUUUUACACGGAAAUACCACUAAAUAUUUUCUAAGCUUUGAUCAUUAUUUUGAAUCGACACAAAAUACUGUUAAUCAGACAGGUUUAAUGGACAACACAUAUUUGUUAGAAUUAUAUAAAGUGGGAUCUCAUUUUAUUCGUAACACAGAACUGAAUCAGAUAGUUAAGGUUUUAUUUUGUUUCCUUGACGAAAAAUUAUUUUGUAAACAUCUGAUUUUAAUGAGAAGUUGAUGAGAAAAAGUUGUGUUAACAUCUUUAGUCAGAUAAUGUUAAUUCUACAGAUCUAAUGUAAAACAUCUUUUAAAAAUAACAAAUACUUGACAGAAUUAUAUAAAGUGGGGUCUUAUUUUUCUUGUCUCUUCGUACUGAAUCAGAAAAAUAUACUCGUUUUAAUGUUUCUUGAAUUUUUUUUUUUUUUUAACUUUGAUCAUUCUACUUAAUCAUUGUUAAUCAGACAGAUUUAAUGGACAACAAAUAUUUGUUAGAAUUAUAUAAAGUGGGGUCUCAUUUUAAUUGUCUUGUCCAGCUGAGUCCAUUGAUAUAAAUAUUGUUUAUGUUUCUAGAAAAAAGUUUUUUUUUAACCUGACAGUUCUGAUGGAAGUUCUGACAUCUCACAAUAAAACAUGUUGUUUAUUUGUUGUUUAUGUAGAAUAUAAAUACAAGUGUGACUGGUCAUUUUAUUCAGUUUUGACCACUGAUUCAUGUGAUAUAUAUUUUGUUUAUAUUUAUUACACAACAUUGUCCAGUUUAUGACACAAGUUUUGAUGUCUGUUAUAUGUUGAUAUUACAGGAUGGAAUGACACCAUUAAUGUUGGCGGCUUGGGAAGGACACCUGGAGGUAGUGACUUACUAGUCACUCACGGAAGUCAGUUAGAAGCCACAGACAGGUAAUGAUAGAUAUAAUCACCUUACUCUGACCAAACAUCACUUUAUACAGAAUCUACACAAAAUCAUGUUGUUAAUCAGACAGGUUUAAUGGACAACAAAUAUUUGUUAGAAUUAUAUAAAGUGGGGUCUCAUUUUAUUCGUAACACAGAACUGAAUCAGAUAGUUAAGGUUUUAUUUUGUUUCCUGACGAAAAAAUUAUUUUGUAAACAUCUGAUUUUAAUGAGAAGUUGAAGAGAAAAAGUUGUGUUAACAUCUUUAGUCAGAUAAUGUUAAUUCUACAGAUUUAAUGUAAAAACAUCUUUUAAAAAUAACAAAUACUUGACAGAAUUAUAUAAAGUGGGGUCUUAUUUUUCUUGUCUCUUCGUACUGAAUCAGAAAAUAUUACUCGUUUUAAUGUUUCUUGAAUUUUUUUUUUUUAAACUUUUGAUCAUUCUACAUAAUCAAUUGUUAAUCAGACAGAUUUAAUGGACAACAAAUAUUUGUUAGAAUUAUAUAAAGUGGGGUCUCAUUUUAAUUGUCUUGUCCAGCUGAGUCCAUUGAUAUAAAUAUUGUUUAUGUUUCUAGAAAAAGUUUUUUUUUAACCUGACAGUUCUGAUGGAAGUUCUGACAUCUCACAAUAAAACAUGUUGUUUAUUUGUUGUUUAUGUAGAAUAUAAAUACAAGUGUGACUGGUCAUUUUAUUCAGUUUUGACCACUGAUUCAUGUGAUAUAUAUAUUUUGUUUAUAUUUAUUACACAACAUUGUCCAGUUUAUGACACAAGUUUUGAUGUCUGUUAUAUGUUGAUAUUACAGAGAGGAAGGACACCAUUAAUGUUGGCGGCUGGGGAGGACACCUGGAGGUGGUGACUUUCCUAGUCACUCACGGAAGUCAGUUAGAAGCUACAGACAAGG